RNAcentral lists this ribosomal RNA (699 nucleotides) under uncultured bacterium. Its description in RNAcentral is "bacterial SSU rRNA". It matches the Rfam family "Bacterial small subunit ribosomal RNA", at positions 8 to 725 of the family's 1533-position model. The record is from RNAcentral.
AGAGUUUGAUCCUGGCUCAGGAUAAACGCUGGCGGCGUGCCUUAUGCAUGCAAGUUGUACGAGGUCUAGGGCUUCGGCUCUAGAGCAGUAGCGGACGGGUGAGUAACACGUACGUAACCUGUCCGAAAGUGGGGAAUAACCCCGCGAAAGCGGGGCUAAUACCGCAUAUGGUCGCCGGUGAAACACCGGUGGACAAAAGCCUUACGGCGCUUUCGGAGGGGCGUGCGGCCGAUUAGCUAGUUGGUGUGGUAAUGGCGCACCAAGGCGACAAUCGGUAGCUGGUCUGAGAGGACGGCCAGCCACACGGGGACUGAGACACGGCCCCGACUCCUACGGGAGGCAGCAGCAAGGAAUUUUGCGCAAUGGGCGAAAGCCUGACGCAGCAACGCCGCGUGGGGGAUGAAGGCCCUCGGGUCGUAAACCCCUUUUGUAAGGGAAGUAACUGACGGUACCUUACGAAUAAGCCACGGCUAACUACGUGCCAGCAGCCGCGGUAAUACGUAGGUGGCAAGCGUUGUCCGGAUUUACUGGGCGUAAAGGGCGCGCAGGUGGCUCAUCAAGUCUGGGGUGAAAUCUCCCGGCUCAACCGGGAGGGGUCUCUGGAUACUGAUGGGCUAGAGGGAAGCAGAGGAGAGCGGAAUUCCCGGUGUAGCGGUGAUAUGCGUAGAUAUCGGGAGGGACACCAGUGGCGAAGGCGGC